AACAUGCUAGGUUAAUUGGCGACUCCACAUUGUCCAUAGGUAUGAAUGUGAGUGUGAAUGGUUGUUUGUCUAUAUGUGCCCUGUGAUUGGCUGGCCACCAGUCCAGGGUGUACCCCGCCAGAUGGGAUAGGCUCCAGCACCCCCGAGAUCCUUGUGAGGAUAAGCGAUAGAGAAUGAAUGAAUGUAAAUAUUCAUAUUCAAAGAUGAUGUGGUAUUCUACACUGACCACUAGGUGUCACUAACAAGACAAGACUAUAUUAUGUCUUAUUUUUUCUUCUUCUGGCUAAUAGGUGUGUUAUUUAAUGUCAAGGUGUGUGUAUAUAUAUGCCUUUAUUUUAUCUCCACUUCCCUUUCUAGUUUAGAUCCCCUCUUAUUUUCUCUUUCACUUUCUUUUGUACCUCAUUUUCCUGUCUUCCUCUGGUCCACACCUGUUUCCAAUUCCCACGUCUCCUAUUUAAGUUCAGGUGUGCGUUGUUGGCUCCUUGAUUGACUUUUGUCCUCAGUUUGACGUGUAGUCACGGACUAGUUGGCUUCUUCCCUGCUGGAAUACCGACCUUAAAACCAUGUUCCUGUUCUGCAUCCUGGGGGUCACGACCAUUCCGACGCCAGCCCGUAACACUGGAACCAAUAAAAGAUUCGAGUAUCCUUAUUGGGAUUGGAAGCAGAUGGAAAAAGGUUGUGGUGAUUGUGUCCCGCGAGCUGAAUGGACUUUUAUCACUUGUGACGGGACUCCCUGGAAGUAAGCCGUUAAUCGUGUCCGGGCCGAGGGGAGAGAAGAGCGAAGGAGGCGUGGGGGGGCGAUAAGCCGGGAUGACCUCCGGCCGCUACAGAUAACGCAAAGCCAUCUCCUCACUGCUGAGGCGACCAAGUAAAUCUCCACUUCCGGCAUAGAAAACUGAUGGAUGGAUGUCCACUUCCUGCCUGAUUAGAAAGUGACACACUGGAUAGAUUUACUCCAUAGACUUUGUCUCCAAUCCAUCGACGACUCACACAGGUUUUUGCAGCGUCACAGACAAGUUUGAUUCAUCUCACGUGAACGGCGACAAAGUGAGCGGGGGGGUGAACCA
Non-coding RNA from Doryrhamphus excisus (bluestripe pipefish), 1067 nucleotides. NCBI's taxonomy places the organism in Eukaryota, Metazoa, Chordata, Actinopteri, Syngnathiformes, Syngnathidae. The record is from RefSeq and is a predicted model, not a curated record.